UCCUGCCCCCUCGAGGACGCGCGAGGCCGCCGCCUCCUCCGCAUGUCAGUCCUCACCUUUGGCAGUCCACACCGCUCCCCGCCCCCACGGUCCCCUGCUUUCCGACUCUUUGCAACCCCCCUCGUUCCCUUGGCAACAGCCGGUAACCUCACCCGAGUAGUAAACCGAGCCCAGAGUGAGGUCACCGCUGUUGCCAUGGGGACGGAGGGGUCGCGGAGGAGUUCAGGGCCCCACAAGGGAUGGAGACCGGGGUUACUUUGAAGCGGGCAGUAAGGAAAACUCAGGAAACAGUCUCAGCCCGGAGGGCCGCAGUGCGGACAGGAGGACCCGAGCGUGUCCGGAAGACGGAUGCCGGGCGGGGAGGAGCAAGUGGCGAGCACCCGCCCGAGGCAGUGGCAUCCACACCCUCCUCCGUCAGGUUGAGGACCCUCCAACCUGAGGUCUUCUCUCAGACCAGCCUAACUUUGACAGUCCAGAGCUCCGUUCUAGUUCCAGGCCUGCCAUUAAUUCCCUGGCACCUUGGACAGAUCCCCUGACUCUCCCAAUUCCCUCAACAGUUAACUGCCUCCCAGCUUCCCAGAGAGGCGAGGAUUUACUGGCAAGAAAACAUGAUAGCCCCCUGGAGCUUGGCUAAGGCUCCACAGGGUACACCUCGAGCUAGUACCGCCUCAGGUCCGCUGGUUGCAAAGACCACCCUGUCCAAGGCUCUGCUCCUACAAGUCAGCCAAGAGGAUGGUGUGGGUCCCAAACUGAUGAGUGACCUUAAAGAAGCUGUGUUAGUCCAGAAUAAGUGGCCUCUGCCUCCAUCCCCUCUAGGCCUGGCCAGAGGGUGGGGGCUUGGGGUCCAGCAUACUGUAGGGUUUCCCCUACCCCCCGUUUCCUCUUGCCUGGAAGGGCUUACAGACUCUCUGGGGGUAAAAGGAGGUCAACACAGAGGCACCCCACCCCAACUCACACUACAGCUCUCCUUUGCUACCAUUCUCCCAAAGCAUGUCUACUCUGGCCACCCACCCUCCUGGGGGCUGAGAGAAACUCUGGGCUCUGCAACCUAGCUGCAUGCCUGCUUCCCAUCUCCUGGUCCAUGGCCCCUUUUCCCUGUUCUGAAGAGACAUGAGGGAUCUCUGUCUGACUGGGUCUCCCCAGAUGCUGGGGACCUCCCUCCAGGGAGAAUUCAGACCUUUGACAGCUGAGAGAGCCAUCUGUCCUAUGGCAAAGCCAUGGGGGCCCAGAGCAGCAGAGCUGGAUUAACCUUCCAGAGGGACCUUUAGGACAGUGGGCCAGAGGGGGUCCGCGACGCUGUGUGGUGUGUUCUGUGCAACGGUAGCCGAGGGAGUGCCCUGGCGCUCUUCUCCUGCCCCAAAGCACUGCAGAUUCCACUGGACUCCACCCUGCACUGCCUCAGGCCCUCUGCCAAGGAAGCUUUGGAAAGGAUUUAGGGUAGUCCUGAGCCUUCCCUUUAUUCUGGGUCCUAAUUGCUACUGUCCUAGGCCUCAAGACUUCCUGCUCUCUCCCUUCUUAUGGGCAGUUGAAGGAGCUGUCUCCUGCCUUUGCCCCUGGCAAAAUAAAUAAAUACAUAAUAAAUUAAAAAAUCUGAGCACUCAAGAUGUGCCAAGCAUUGUCCUGCAUGUUAUUUCCUUAGAUAGGAGUACCACACGGACCCCGAGAGCCCCUCUAGAUACAGGGAUACCCUCCCUCCUAACCCUACCCAUCCUGCCCACCCCACCCUUACCCGUAAGGACAAGGUGUCUUUGCAUUGCAGGCUGAUGCCACAUUCAUCGGUGAUCUCGGAGAGGUCUUCAUCCUCAAACUCCUCCAGGCUGAUGUCAUGGGUGAGCCUGGUGGGGACAAGAAGCCAAAGUUACCACUCGGGACUGCUGGCGGUGGGCUGAGGACCCUGAGGCCUCCCCCAUACCUCUUCAGAGGGGUGGCCCCUCGAAGACAUGUCACCAGGGGAUGGGACCUGAGGUCUGCCUGCUUCAGUGCAAAGGGUUAGGAUGAGGAACACUAAGGCUGAGACAGAAGAUGCCAUAGGCCUGCAGCUUCCCCAUAUGUAAGAUGAGGACCCCAUCUGGGUGCUGGUAAACUUAACCGAAUGGAGUGUGUGUAAAUUAUGUGAGGAGGUCCCGACUAACGAUCAGGGGCUGGACUGACCCUGGAGUCUUCUUUGCAAGUCACACCCACUCCCCUCAACGUCCACCUCUGCCCACCUCUCCACCGCCCCAUUCCCUGCCCUUUCCUCCUGCUUAUCCAGGCACCAGGAGUUCUGGGUCUCUCAGCUGAAGCCCCAGGAGGCCCUUUGUGGAGGGAAAGCCAUACAGACCCUUGGUCCCUCCAAGUUCAAGGAGGGCAGCUCCUGCAGGAGGAAGGAAAAGAUGGAGGGCAGGGGGGCAGCAGGGGCCGGAAAGAAGGAGGGAGGUCCCCUCCUGAGCCCACUGCCCCACCUUCCCCAUGGAAACCGGCCCCGGAGCGCCAGAAGACGGCUCAGGCUGAACCACACGACCCGCCGCAGGUCGGGUCCCCGGUUUUGCCUCUAGAUCUAGGAACCCCAGCCCUUCGGAGGCAGCUGCGUCAUCACUCAGACCUGCUCGCCCGUUCGGGUGAGACGGGUCACGAGGGCUCAUCCACACUAGCAUCUGGUGAGUCUACGGCAAGUGUUUGGUCUCUCGAGCCCACCCCCAACCUCGGCAUCAAUCUUUGUCACCCAGGCCCCUCCUCUGAGUUAACCUCAUCGCCUCCCACUCUGGCACCCCCGUCCUCCCCUCUGUCUGCUGCUCACUGUCCUCCGAACGUGCCACCCUCAGGCUCCCCCUGCCUGAGCCAAGCUCCCCUAAACAGACAGACCAGCCUCCUGUGUUUCAAUGUUUACGUCAUGGCCUUUCCCUUGCCACGUGAACGUCAGUCACAUCUGCAUUCCACCAACAGCAGCUCUUUCUAAGCUGCUGUUUCCACCCAGGAGGAGGCGGAGUUAGCAGUGCCUGCCAAGCAAGCAUUAAAUGAGCAAGAACUCCGGGAUCUGGUGACUCAACUAUUGGGAAACUAUCCUUUGGAAACCAUCCCAACCUUGGAAAAGCCUUUCUACACAAGGGUGUGUGUCCUCAUCAUGGAAACCACCGCCGAGUCUGGCAUGCGGGGUCCUCCAGAGGAGGGAGCAUUGCUCGCUCUUUGGGAUGAACGUUAUAAAGUCUGUGCAUUAAUGUUGAAAAUGGGAACUAAUACAAUAAGCAGAAGACAGAACGUGUCACCUUAUGGCUCCACGUGAUGACUCACACACAGAAGAGAACCUGACACAGACACAGCCGUGGGACGCGGUGGGAUCUGGGGGGUCUUCUCAAGUCCACUCUGGCUCACACCCCCCAGCAGCUGCCCCUCAUAAAGCCUGGCUUCUGAGG
Non-coding RNA from Odocoileus virginianus texanus, 3389 nucleotides. NCBI's taxonomy places the organism in Eukaryota, Metazoa, Chordata, Mammalia, Artiodactyla, Cervidae. The record is from RefSeq and is a predicted model, not a curated record.